This 254-nucleotide ribosomal RNA is filed under the name uncultured bacterium. Its description in RNAcentral is "partial 16S ribosomal RNA". It matches the Rfam family "Bacterial small subunit ribosomal RNA", at positions 524 to 776 of the family's 1533-position model. The record is from RNAcentral.
UACGGGGGGAGCAAGCGUUGUUCGGAUUUACUGGGCGUAAAGGGCGCGUAGGCGGUCAGCACAAGUCAGUUGUGAAAUCUCCGGGCUUAACUCGGAAAGGUCAACUGAUACUGUGCGACUAGAGUGCGGAAGGGGCAACUGGAAUUCUCGGUGUAGCGGUGAAAUGCGUAGAUAUCGAGAGGAACACCUGCGGCGAAGGCGGGUUGCUGGGCCGACACUGACGCUGAGGAGCGAAAGCUGGGGGAGCGAACAGG